RNAcentral lists this ribosomal RNA (354 nucleotides) under Triticum aestivum (bread wheat). RNAcentral's name for it is "partial small subunit ribosomal RNA". Lineage: Eukaryota; Viridiplantae; Streptophyta; Magnoliopsida; Poales; Poaceae. The record is from RNAcentral.
AUGUCGAAGCCGGAGCCUAGGACGAGCUCGCAUGACGGCUUGCUCGUUCCCAAACCAGAGUUGCCUCUGCUGGCGGUAUACAGAGGGCCUGUGGCUAGCAUGGCCGGUGACCCUGAAGACUUACCGGGGCUUCUCCUGGCGCUGCGCGAAUUGAUGAAAGGGCCACAACGCCACCCGGAUGACCGAGUUGACAAGUCAAGGUUGCGCGAGGCGGUCGUCACUUCGGUGGCUGGCGUCAUCAUUGACCUCAUGAGCGAGGAUGAUGACAAAUCCCUCGAUGUCGGCAAGGAGGAGGAGGACGACGACAACUCCCUCGACCUCGACAGCGGUUCCGACAUCGAUGAUGAUGAUUAG